RNAcentral lists this ribosomal RNA (465 nucleotides) under Vreelandella stevensii. RNAcentral's name for it is "partial 16S ribosomal RNA". It matches the Rfam family "Bacterial small subunit ribosomal RNA", at positions 338 to 795 of the family's 1533-position model. Lineage: Bacteria; Pseudomonadati; Pseudomonadota; Gammaproteobacteria; Oceanospirillales; Halomonadaceae. The record is from RNAcentral.
CCUACGGGAGGCAGCAGUGGGGAAUAUUGGACAAUGGGGGCAACCCUGAUCCAGCCAUGCCGCGUGUGUGAAGAAGGCCCUCGGGUCGUAAAGCACUUUCAGUGAGGAAGAACGCCUGGUGGUUAAUACCCAUCAGGAAAGACAUCACUCACAGAAGAAGCACCGGCUAACUCCGUGCCAGCAGCCGCGGUAAUACGGAGGGUGCGAGCGUUAAUCGGAAUUACUGGGCGUAAAGCGCGCGUAGGUGGCUUGAUAAGCCGGUUGUGAAAGCCCCGGGCUCAACCUGGGAACGGCAUCCGGAACUGUCAAGCUAGAGUGCAGGAGAGGAAGGUAGAAUUCCCGGUGUAGCGGUGAAAUGCGUAGAGAUCGGGAGGAAUACCAGUGGCGAAGGCGGCCUUCUGGACUGACACUGACACUGAGGUGCGAAAGCGUGGGUAGCAAACAGGAUUAGAUACCCCUGUAGUC